RNAcentral lists this ribosomal RNA (497 nucleotides) under uncultured bacterium. RNAcentral's name for it is "partial 16S ribosomal RNA". It matches the Rfam family "Bacterial small subunit ribosomal RNA", at positions 28 to 507 of the family's 1533-position model. The record is from RNAcentral.
GAUGAACGCUGGCGGCGUGCCUAAUACAUGCAAGUCGAGCGAACGGACGAGAAGCUUGCUUCUCUGAUGCUAGCGGCGGACGGGUGAGUAACACGUGGAUAACCUACCUAUAAGACUGGGAUAACUUCGGGAAACCGUAGCUAAUACCGGAUAAUAUUUUGAACCGCAUGGUUCAAAAGUGAAAGACGGUCUUGCUGUCACUUAUAGAUGGAUCCGCGCUGCAUUAGCUAGUUGGUAAGGUAACGGCUUACCAAGGCAACGAUGCAUAGCCGACCUGAGAGGGUGAUCGACCACACUGGAACUGAGACACGGUCCAGACUCCUACGGGAGGCAGCUGUAGGGAAUCUUCCGCAAUGGGCGAAAGCCUGACGGAGCAACGCCGCGUGAGUGAUGAAGGUCUUCGGAUCGUAAAACUCUGUUAUUAGGGAAGAACAUAUGUGUAAGUAACUGUGCACAUCUUGACGGUACCUAAUCAGAAAGCCACGGCUAACUACGUG